AAGGGAGACCUAAUUCAGGUAGGAGACGAAAAAAAAGUAGUCCCUACCAAGAAUCAAUCCCAAAAGGUCGGAGCGAGGCAAAAUUGGCUUUCAAACUAGGUUCUGGGUUCACACAAGACCUGAAUCAGGAACAAGGGCUAUUAGCUCAGGUGGUUAGAGCGCACCCCUGAUAAGGGUGAGGUCCCUGGUUCGAGUCCAGGAUGGCCCACCUGCACAGGUGGCCAAAACAAAGAAAAAAAGCUCCGAAUCAGCACCUUAUCUUACUUAUAUAGUAAGAGAGAAUGCUGGCUCUGAGUACAGAGUCCAGAGGAACCUUGAAAACUGCAUAGAGCUAGGUGAAAAAGCCAAAAAAGAAGACCGCAA
Molecule: transfer RNA, 363 nt
Filed under: uncultured Microcystis sp.
Lineage: Bacteria; Bacillati; Cyanobacteriota; Cyanophyceae; Chroococcales; Microcystaceae
Description: partial miscellaneous RNA
Rfam family: tRNA (bases 135-208)
Source: RNAcentral